This 254-nucleotide ribosomal RNA is filed under the name uncultured bacterium. RNAcentral describes it as "partial 16S ribosomal RNA". It matches the Rfam family "Bacterial small subunit ribosomal RNA", at positions 524 to 776 of the family's 1533-position model. The record is from RNAcentral.
UACGUAGGGGGCAAGCGUUGUCCGGAAUCAUUGGGCGUAAAGAGCGCGUAGGCGGCCCUGUAAGUCCGCUGUGAAAGUCAAGGGCUCAACCCUUGAAUGCCGGUGGAUACUGCAGGGCUAGAGUCCGGAAGAGGCGAGUGGAAUUCCUGGUGUAGCGGUGAAAUGCGCAGAUAUCAGGAGGAACACCGAUGGCGAAGGCAGCUCGCUGGGACGGUACUGACGCCUGAGGCGCGAAAGCUAGGGGAGCAAACGGG